CACGUAGGGGGCGAGCGUUGUCCGGAUUUAUUGGGCGUAAAGAGCUCGUAGGCGGCUCAGUAAGUCGGGUGUGAAAACUCCAGGCUCAACCUGGAGACGCCACCUGAUACUGCUGUGGCUAGAGUCCGGUAGGGGAGCAUGGAAUUCCUGGUGUAGCGGUGAAAUGCGCAGAUAUCAGGAGGAACACCAGUGGCGAAGGCGGGUCUCUGGGCAGUAACUGACGCUGAGGAGCGAAAGCGUGGGGAGCGAACAGG
This 254-nucleotide ribosomal RNA is filed under the name uncultured bacterium. RNAcentral describes it as "partial 16S ribosomal RNA". It matches the Rfam family "Bacterial small subunit ribosomal RNA", at positions 524 to 776 of the family's 1533-position model. The record is from RNAcentral.